UAAACUAGGAUUAGAUACCCUAUUAUUUUAAAUGUGAAUUUAUAAUACUAAAUUAUUAGUAGCUAUGUUCUUGAAAAUUAAAAAAUUUGGCGGUAUUUUAGUCUUUUCAGAGGAACCUGUCCUUUAAUCGAUAGUCCACGAUAUAGGGUACUUUAUUUAUUAAUUUACAUAUCGUCGUAGUUAGAAUAUUUUAAAAGAAUAAUAAUAUUCUAGAUUUUUUAUUAAAAAUAAAAUCAGAUCAAGGUGUAAUUUAUAAUAAAGGAGAGAUGGGUUACAUUUAAAUUAUUAUAGGAUAUUUUUUAGGAUAAAAGAUUGAAUUUGGAUUUGAAAGUAAUUUUAUUGAAUUAAUUAAGAUGAUUUUAGCUCUAGAAUAUGCACACAUCGCCCGUCGCUCUUAA
This 398-nucleotide ribosomal RNA is filed under the name Spermophagus bimaculatus. RNAcentral's name for it is "partial 12S ribosomal RNA". Lineage: Eukaryota; Metazoa; Arthropoda; Insecta; Coleoptera; Chrysomelidae. The record is from RNAcentral.